GUGUUUGCUUCUGCUGCACAUAUACUAAAACUGGAAAGAUACGGAGAUUAGCAUGGCCCCUGCGCAAGGAUGACAUGCAAAUUCGUGAAGCGGGCCAUAUUUUU
Small nuclear RNA from Choloepus didactylus (southern two-toed sloth), 104 nucleotides. The record is from RefSeq and is a predicted model, not a curated record. NCBI's taxonomy places the organism in Eukaryota, Metazoa, Chordata, Mammalia, Pilosa, Megalonychidae.